GCCCCGUAGCUCAACGGAUAGAGCAUCUGACUACGGAUCAGAAGGUUGGGGGUUCGAAUCCCUCCGGGCGCA
RNAcentral lists this transfer RNA (72 nucleotides) under Corynebacterium diphtheriae bv. gravis. RNAcentral describes it as "tRNA-Arg". It matches the Rfam family "tRNA". Rfam says of the family: Transfer RNA (tRNA) molecules are approximately 80 nucleotides in length. Their secondary structure includes four short double-helical elements and three loops (D, anti-codon, and T loops). Further hydrogen bonds mediate the characteristic L-shaped molecular structure. tRNAs have two regions of fundamental functional importance: the anti-codon, which is responsible for specific mRNA codon recognition, and the 3' end, to which the tRNAs corresponding amino acid is attached (by aminoacyl-tRNA synthetases). tRNAs cope with the degeneracy of the genetic code in two manners: having more than one tRNA (with a specific anti-codon) for a particular amino acid; and 'wobble' base-pairing, i.e. permitting non-standard base-pairing at the 3rd anti-codon position. The record is from RNAcentral. Lineage: Bacteria; Bacillati; Actinomycetota; Actinomycetes; Mycobacteriales; Corynebacteriaceae.